UUGAUCCUGGGCUCAGAUUGAACGCUGGGCGGCCAGGCCUAACACAUGCAAGUCGAAACGGUAGCACAGAGAGCUUGCUCUCGGGUGACGAGUGGCGGACGGGUGAGUAAUGUCUGGGAAACUGCCUGAUGGAGGGGGAUAACUACUGGAAACGGUAGCUAAUACCGCAUAACGUCGCAAGACCAAAGAGGGGGACCUUCGGGCCUCUUGCCAUCAGAUGUGCCCAGAUGGGAUUAGCUAGUAGGUGGGGUAACGGCUCACCUAGGCGACGAUCCCUAGCUGGUCUGAGAGGAUGACCAGCCACACUGGAACUGAGACACGGUCCAGACUCCUACGGGAGGCAGCAGUGGGGAAUAUUGCACAAUGGGCGCAAGCCUGAUGCAGCCAUGCCGCGUGUAUGAAGAAGGCCUUCGGGUUGUAAAGUACUUUCAGCGGGGAGGAAGGUGAUGAGGUUAAUAACCUCAGCAAUUGACGUUACCCGCAGAAGAAGCACCGGCUAACUCCGUGCCAGCAGCCGCGGUAAUACGGAGGGUGCAAGCGUUAAUCGGAAUUACUGGGCGUAAAGCGCACGCAGGCGGUCUGUCAAGUCGGAUGUGAAAUCCCCGGGCUCAACCUGGGAACUGCAUUCGAAACUG
This 635-nucleotide ribosomal RNA is filed under the name Enterobacter chuandaensis. RNAcentral's name for it is "bacterial SSU rRNA". It matches the Rfam family "Bacterial small subunit ribosomal RNA", at positions 13 to 635 of the family's 1533-position model. The record is from RNAcentral. Lineage: Bacteria; Pseudomonadati; Pseudomonadota; Gammaproteobacteria; Enterobacterales; Enterobacteriaceae.